This 400-nucleotide unclassified non-coding RNA is filed under the name uncultured Microbacteriaceae bacterium. Its description in RNAcentral is "contains 16S-23S intergenic spacer region". Lineage: Bacteria; Bacillati; Actinomycetota; Actinomycetes; Micrococcales; Microbacteriaceae. The record is from RNAcentral.
ACCGUCAAUUCCUUUGAGUUUUAGCCUUGCGGCCGUACUCCCCAGGCGGGGAACUUAAUGCGUUAGCUGCGUCACGGAAACCGUGGAAUGGUCCCCACAACUAGUUCCCAACGUUUACGGGGUGGACUACCAGGGUAUCUAAGCCUGUUUGCUCCCCACCCUUUCGCUCCUCAGCGUCAGUUACGGCCCAGAGAUCUGCCUUCGCCAUCGGUGUUCCUCCUGAUAUCUGCGCAUUCCACCGCUACACCAGGAAUUCCAAUCUCCCCUACCGCACUCUAGUCUGCCCGUACCCACUGCAGGCCCGAGGUUGAGCCUCGGGAUUUCACAGCAGACGCGACAAACCGCCUACGAGCUCUUUACGCCCAAUAAUUCCGGAUAACGCUUGCGCCCUACGUAUUAC